UACGGAGGGUGCAAGCGUUAUCCGGAAUCAUUGGGUUUAAAGGGUCCGCAGGCGGGAAGAUAAGUCAGUGGUGAAAUCUCACAGCUCAACUGUGAAACUGCCAUUGAUACUGUCUUUCUUGAAUUCGAUCGAAGUGGCGGAAUGUGACAUGUAGCGGUGAAAUGCUUAGAUAUGUCACAGAACACCUAUGGCGAAGGCAGCACUCUGGGACGGUACUGACGCUGAGACGCGAAAGCGUGGGGAGCGAACAGG
RNAcentral lists this ribosomal RNA (252 nucleotides) under uncultured bacterium. RNAcentral's name for it is "partial 16S ribosomal RNA". It matches the Rfam family "Bacterial small subunit ribosomal RNA", at positions 524 to 776 of the family's 1533-position model. The record is from RNAcentral.